RNAcentral lists this long non-coding RNA (266 nucleotides) under Lathyrus oleraceus (garden pea). Its description in RNAcentral is "Pisum sativum (pea) long non-coding RNA (PSAT_LNC012403)". Lineage: Eukaryota; Viridiplantae; Streptophyta; Magnoliopsida; Fabales; Fabaceae. The record is from RNAcentral.
AAAAAAAGUAAAAACAAAAGAAAGAAAACAAAUCAAAUUUAUUUGAGUGAUAUAAUUUUCUAUUUGUCAAAAGAUUGAUAGAUGAACUUGGAGUUGUAUAACUUUCUUUGUUACAAAUCUAUUGAUAGAUAAUUAUUAAUAAUCUUCAAUACUUUUCAUCAAUGAUAAGUUAUCCCUUGAUGCGUCAUAUUUUGAGCCUUUUGACCUGUGGAUAGAUAAUCCUCAAAAUAUCCACUUUGCACAUAUCACUAACCACUAACUAUAUU